CCUGGGAACUGCGUUNUGAACUGGGUGACUAGAGUGUGUCAGAGGGAGGUAGAAUUCCACGUGUAGCAGUGAAAUGCGUAGAGAUGUGGAGGAAUACCGAUGGCGAAGGCAGCCUCCUGGGAUAACACUGACGUUCAUGCCCGAAAGCGUGGGUAGCAAACAGGAUUAGAUAACCUGGUAGUCCACGCCCUAAACGAUGUCGAUUAGCUGUUGGGCAGCAUGACUGCUUAGUAGCGAAGCUAACGCGUGAAAUCGACCGCCUGGGGAGUACGGUCGCAAGAUUAAAACUCAAAGGAAUUGACGGGGACCCGCACAAGCGGUGGAUGAUGUGGAUUAAUUCGAUGCAACGCGAAGAACCUUACCUGGUCUUGACAUGUACGGAACCCUCCAGAGACGGAGGGGUGCCUUCGGGAGCCGUAACACAGGUGCUGCAUGGCUGUCGUCAGCUCGUGUCGUGAGAUGUUGGGUUAAGUCCCGCAACGAGCGCAACCCUUGUCAUUAGUUGCCAUCAUUAAGUUGGGCACUCUAAUGAGACUGCCGGUGACAAGCCGGAGGAAGGUGGGGAUGACGUCAAGUCCUCAUGGCCCUUAUGACCAGGGCUUCACACGUCAUACAAUGGUCGGUACAGAGGGUAGCCAAGCCGCGAGGUGGAGCCAAUCUCACAAAACCGAUCGUAGUCCGGAUUGCACUCUGCAACUCGAGUGCAUGAAGUCGGAAUCGCUAGUAAUCGCAGGUCAGCAUACUGCGGUGAAUACGUUCCCGGGUCUUGUACACACCGCCCGUCACACCAUGGGAGUGGGGGAUACCAGAAGUAGGUAGGGUAACCGCAAGGAGCCCGCUUACCACGGUAUGCUUCA
This 857-nucleotide ribosomal RNA is filed under the name uncultured bacterium. RNAcentral describes it as "bacterial SSU rRNA". It matches the Rfam family "Bacterial small subunit ribosomal RNA", at positions 613 to 1471 of the family's 1533-position model. The record is from RNAcentral.